This 301-nucleotide ribosomal RNA is filed under the name uncultured bacterium. Its description in RNAcentral is "partial 16S ribosomal RNA". It matches the Rfam family "Bacterial small subunit ribosomal RNA", at positions 509 to 807 of the family's 1533-position model. The record is from RNAcentral.
CAGUCGCCGCGGUAAUACGUAGGGUGCAAGCGUUAAUCGGAAUUACUGGGCGUAAAGCGUGCGCAGGCGGUUUGUUAAGACAGAUGUGAAAUCCCCGGGCUCAACCUGGGAACUGCAUUUGUGACUGGCAAGCUAGAGUCUGGCAGAGGGGGGUGGAAUUCCGCGUGUAGCAGUGAAAUGCGUAGAUAUGCGGAGGAACACCGAUGGCGAAGGCAGCCCCCUGGGCCAACACUGACACUGAGGCACGAAAGCGUGGGGAGCAAACAGGAUUAGAUACCCGUGUAGUCCCUGUCUCUUAUAC